GACCGCUCCCACCGGGAGUUAAGAGGCCAUACGGACAGCCGGGUCCACUGCCGA
RNAcentral lists this small RNA (54 nucleotides) under uncultured Blautia sp. RNAcentral's name for it is "Streptococcus sRNA SpF59 (ldcC RNA)". It matches the Rfam family "Streptococcus sRNA SpF59 (ldcC RNA)". The record is from RNAcentral. Lineage: Bacteria; Bacillati; Bacillota; Clostridia; Lachnospirales; Lachnospiraceae.